RNAcentral lists this long non-coding RNA (806 nucleotides) under Homo sapiens (human). RNAcentral describes it as "non-protein coding lnc-TSC22D2-4:1". Lineage: Eukaryota; Metazoa; Chordata; Mammalia; Primates; Hominidae. The record is from RNAcentral.
GAGCAUGUGCAAGACUCCUUACUAAACGAAGGAGGGCAGAGGAGUGCCGUUUUGGAAAUAUCAAGGGGAAUGAAAAGAGAAAGAGAAUUGACGGGAGAGAGAGGAAUCUGCCCACACUCAGGGGAUCAUCCAGAAUUCACAGAUGAACAGGGUGCACUCAAGGAAGACUGCCCCUCCAUCAGAGCACCACCCCUCAGUGACUGCUGACGUGUAAGACACUUCCAGCAUCUUUUUACCAGGCCCCACCCUUGGGGAUGCCCAGACCAAGAUAUCACUCUUUGCACUAAGUGACUCCUGAGAUACCAGCCCUUUACCUGACUUACAUUCUGUCAUCCUGCAUCAGAAUUGUUUCGAAUUUUUAGAGGUAUUGUGUUAUAAUGGUGUUCAAUGAAGUUGGAAGAAUUCUGGCUCUGCUGCUUAGAAACUGAAUGCAAGUUCCCUGACCACAGAGGUUGGGUCUUUUAAAGAACCUACUGUGUGCUGAGCGCUGUUGUAAGCACUGAGAAAUAAAGAACAAGAGAGGCGAAGUCCCUGAUGUCUCGGAGUUUAUGGUCUUAUGCGGUUCCUAAAAAUGAAGGUUAAAAGAAACUUGAACUGGAUUCCAUUUUAUCACACGCCUGGAAUGCUGAAAAUGCUGUGGCAAAGUCAUCCAUUCAUUCAUCUAAGUGAAAAGCCUAUAAAAUCAUAGGCAUCUUCAGCCAUAUCCUUAAAUUUCACCAUUUUACGUUUCACCAAAGUUAUAUUGGCAUUAUCUUUUGUGCUGGAAACAAAGUUAAUUGUCUUCUGCAGGAUACUUAAAAUAAAAU